RNAcentral lists this non-coding RNA (98 nucleotides) under Bdellovibrionales bacterium. RNAcentral describes it as "Guanine sequence". It matches the Rfam family "Purine riboswitch aptamer". Rfam says of the family: Riboswitches are metabolite binding domains within certain messenger RNAs that serve as precision sensors for their corresponding targets. Lineage: Bacteria; Pseudomonadati; Bdellovibrionota; Bdellovibrionia; Bdellovibrionales. The record is from RNAcentral.
ACAUUUAAAGGUUUUGUUCCGAAUAUAUGCUGACAAUAGGGGUCAGCGUUUCUACCAGGCACCGUAAAGGCCUGACUACUUGGAGAGAAAAUGAUCGU